GAUGAACGCUGGCGGCGUGCCUAAUACAUGCAAGUCGAGCGAACGGACGAGAAGCUUGCUUCUCUGAUGUUAGCGGCGGACGGGUGAGUAACACGUGGAUAACCUACCUAUAAGACUGGGAUAACUUCGGGAAACCGGAGCUAAUACCGGAUAAUAUUUUGAACCGCAUGGUUCAAAAGUGAAAGACGGUCUUGCUGUCACUUAUAGAUGGAUCCGCGCUGCAUUAGCUAGUUGGUAAGGUAACGGCUUACCAAGGCAACGAUGCAUAGCCGACCUGAGAGGGUGACGGCCCACAGGGGAACGGAGACCGGGUCACGACUCCGAGGGGGGGCAGCAGGGGGGAAUCUUCCGCAGGGGGGGAAGGCCGGACGGAGCAGCGCGGGGGGAGUGAGGAAGGUCUUGGGAUCGUAAAACUUUGUUAUGGGGGAAAAAAAUUUGUGAAAGAAACUGGGCACUUUUGGACGGUCCCUAAUAAGAAACCCACGGCUAACUCCGUG
Molecule: ribosomal RNA, 497 nt
Filed under: uncultured bacterium
Lineage: Bacteria
Description: partial 16S ribosomal RNA
Rfam family: Bacterial small subunit ribosomal RNA
Source: RNAcentral